RNAcentral lists this unclassified non-coding RNA (203 nucleotides) under rhizosphere metagenome. RNAcentral describes it as "partial ribosomal RNA internal transcribed spacer region". The record is from RNAcentral.
GUAGGUGAACCUGCGGAGGGAUCAUUACUGAGUGAGGGCCCCCGGCCCGACCUCCAACCCCAUGUUAUCCGACCACUGUUGCCUCGGGGGCGACCCGGCCUUCGGGCGUCGGGGCCCCCGGUGGACCCCCCAACUCUGCAUCUUUGCGUCUGAGUGGAUUAUUGAAUCAAUCAAAACUUUCAACAACGGAUCUCUUGGUUCUG